RNAcentral lists this ribosomal RNA (1932 nucleotides) under Triticum aestivum (bread wheat). RNAcentral's name for it is "partial small subunit ribosomal RNA". Lineage: Eukaryota; Viridiplantae; Streptophyta; Magnoliopsida; Poales; Poaceae. The record is from RNAcentral.
AUGUCGUGGUCUUCCCCGGAAAGCAUGCUCUUCGUCGGAGCAUCGGCCGUUGCCAGUGCAGCUCUAGCCUGGGCAACGUGGACGUUGCUCGACGAGUUCAAGUACGACAAACGCACUUCGGACACCAACUACAACGAACUCCUCGGCGUCAAGCCCUUGGACGCCACCGGCAGCCUCAGGACCUUGGACGCCGCCACGACUGACCCCGUCAUCGGCCGCGACGACGAGAUCGACCGCCUCGUCUGCAUCCUCUGCCGGCGCACCAAGAACUGUGCCGCGCUGGUCGGCGCGGCGGGGGUUGGCAAGACGGCUAUCGUUGAGGGCCUCGCGCAGCGCAUUGCCGCCGGGAAUGUCCCCGACACGCUUGUCGGCACACACAUCGUGGAGGUUGACAUGGGGGCCAUGAUGGCCGGGACGCACUGGCGCGGCAUGUUUGAGCAGCGCAUCAAAGACGCCAUCAAGGAGGCCGAGGAGGCGGAAGGCAAGAUCAUCUUGUUCAUCGACGAGAUGCACAUGGUCGUUGGCGCCGGCGGGGACAAGGGAGGCCCCAUAGAUGCCGCAAACAUCCUCAAGCCGGCGUUGGCCCGCGGCCGCAUCCGUUGCGUCGGCGCCACGACCUCCGAAGAGUAUAAAAAAUAUGUUCAGACAGACGCCGCACUUGAGCGGCGGUUCCAGAAGGUUGUCGUGGAGGAGCCAACUGUGCAUGCGACCAUUGCCAUCCUGCAGGGGCUGAAGCACAGGUACCAAGAGCACCAUGGCUUGAAAAUCCAGGACGAUGCUAUUGUAGCCGCUGCACAUCUUGCUGCCCGCUACAUUACAGGCCGUAAAUUCCCUGAUAAAGCAGUUGAUCUUAUGGAUGAGGCAUGCGCCACAAGAAAGAUGCACGCGGACAAACAAAUGACCGUGGAAAUUGUUGUUAGCCCUGGAGAUGUAGCACGGGUUGUGAGCCGAUGGACUAAAAUUCCUCUCGCUACACUUGACCAAGAGGAGAACGACAAGUUGAACCACCUUGCGAAAAAAUUGCAUGAGCGUGUUAUUGGCCAGGAUGAAGCUGUUAAUUUAGUUGCACAAGCAGUCCUACGUUCUAGGGUCGGCUUUGGUCAAAUCGGACAACCGAUAAGUGCAUUCCUCUUUUUGGGCCCGAUUGGCGUCGGAAAGACAGAACUUGCUAAAGCCCUCGCCGAGAAGAUAUUUGACAACGAGAAGGCAUUGAUUCGCUUUGAUAUGUCGGAAUAUGCUGAUAGUGGAUCUGUGUCACGUCUCACCGGAGGAUCUCGAAGCUAUGAAGAAUAUGGACAACUCACCGAGAAAGUCAAGAGGCUCCCAUAUAGUGUUAUCCUUUUCGACCAAGUGGAUAAAGCAAAUGCCUCGGUAUUCAAGGUUUUUCACCAGCUGCUCGACGAUGCUAUGUUGACCGAUGGCAAAGGGCAAGUUGUAGAUUUCAAGAACACUAUCGUCAUUAUGACCUCAAAUAUAGGAGCAGAGCACCUACCAUCGAGAAUUAUGGGCGAAAAUACAAUCAAAUCUGAAAGAGAUCUCCUUCUGAAUCAGGUUAAGAAGCGCUUCAAGCCUGAACUUAUAAAUAGACUAAGUAAGGUUGUGAUAUUCGAGCCACUUUCACACGAUGAAUUGAGGAAGAUUGUGAAAAUCCAGAUGAAUAAUGUCAUUGCCACAGUAGCUAACAAGGGUGUCUCUGUACUUGCAACUGAUGCGGCCCUAGACGUCAUUCUGUCAGAAUCACAUGACCCGGUGGACGGCGCAAGGCCCAUUAGAAGGUGGGUGCAGAAUCAUGUGACCACGAUUCUCUCGGACAUGCUGGUCGACGGAGAAGCCUGUGCAGGCUCGACAAUCUCCAUCGAUGCUGCCGCGGACGAUAAGAGGGGGCUAACGUUCCAAGUGCUGAAGAAGCAGCAGGAGUUGGCAGAUCAAUGA